UUUAUGAAUAAUAAUUCAUAAUUGGGUAUCAAUUCUCAUAAAUUUAUUAAAAUGCAUAACUAAUAAAUUUAGGUCCACUACAACCCUUUGGUCCCUCAUGCGGUUUCUAUGAUCUUGCUUGAACAGAAGACCGCUCAUCUCUCCACAGCACGUUGGCUCCGAUACACCACUGUUCUAUUGGAUAUGCCUAACAUCACUGUCAAACGCUGUAAUGUUUUAAAUCCUGCAACUUUGCUCCCCAUUCCAGGAGACAGAGAAGAUCAUAACUGUGUUGCUUUGCUUGAGCAGGUUUGCACUCCACGUACAGAUCUGUCUGAAACACCUAUAACUAACCCAGACCUGAUUCUCUUUGUUGAAGGGUCUGCUUCACGCAAUGUUAACACAGGAAAAAAUCAUGUUGGGUUUGCCGUAGCCACUCAACACUCAACACUGAAAUCUGGCCCCUUACAAUCUCAUUAUUCAGCUCAAGCAGCUGAGUUGGUAGCACUCCCUGAAGCUCGUAAAUUGGCCAAAGACAAAUCAGUAACUAUUUACACAGAUUCUCAAUCUGCAUUUGCAACCGUGCAUGAUUUCUCUGCAUUGUGAAAACAUAGAAAUUUCUUAAAAUCUGAUGAUAAGCCUAUUCUGCAUCAUGAUAAAAUAGCUGCAUUGCUUGAAGCAGUGAUGUUGCUGCUAUUUCUGUAUGCAAAUGCCAGGCCCAUACUAAUUCAAAGAGACUUUGUUUCUACAGGUAACGUGAAAGCUGAUGCGCAUGCACACAUACACCCCUGCACGCAGACACAGACACAGAUAUUCCUCUGACAUUGCAUGCUAUGCAACAAUUUGCUACAUCAGAUGAGAAGCGCACAUGGCAACAGGCUGGUUGUAAAUAUGCUGAUGGAUUAUGGAUUGGUCCCAAUGACAAACCAUGUUUACCCAAACACAUUAUGCUAAAUUGACACAUGGGUUGCAUCAUGUGUCAAAGGGAGGGAUGUUCGAUCAACUAAAGCAACACUGGUUUAUGAAAGGUUUCACAACAUACACUCACAACUUUUGCCAAACAUGCUCAAUCUGCCUAACACACAACACAGGGAGAGGAUUAAGGGUUCCCUAGUGGCACACCCAACGCCAGAUAAACCAUUUGGUCACCCGAUGAUGGACUUUUUUGAGCUUAACCCGAGUCAAGGCAAAAGGUACUGUUUGGUCAUAGUUGAUAUGUUUUCCAAAUGGAUGGAGGUUUUUCCAACUUCAAAACAAGACAGUGCAGCUGUAGCAAAAGCCUUGAUUUCUGAGAUCUUGCCGCGCUGGGGCGUGCCUUCUAAAAUCAGCAGUGACAACGGCACACCUUUUGUAACAACUUGGCUCUUACAUGGGCAUUGAUUUGAGACAACAUUGUUCCUUCCACCCAGCGAGUGAUGGAGCAGUAGAAAAAGAGAAUGGAACAUUAAAAGCUAAGCUAGCUAAAUGUUGUGAAGACACAGGUCUUCCAUGGACAAAGGCGCUGCCGUUGGUGUUGAUGUACAUGAGAAUGAGGGUAAGAACUAGGUCAGGUUUGAGCCUGUUUGAGAUUCUUUUUGGGCGCUCUCCACGAACAGGGAUAGAGGCAGCAAGCAGAGUACCCCUUGACACACAUCACUGUGAGAAUGAUUGAAUGACUUUGUCCUCUGCUCUUGCCCGUCUACAUCAGCAGGUUAAAGAGGCCCUACCCUCUCCAGCGACAGAACCACUGCACAGUCUCCUAGAUUUUGUGGUGGUUAAGGACUUCAGAAGAAAGCACUGGAAGGCGCAGAGGUGGAAAGGUGCUCCUGACAACAUACACAGCGGUAAAAGUGGCUGAAAGAGCUACGUGGAUUCACGCCAGCCACUACAGGAAGGUGCCUGCACCAGUACAACAAUAGAUCAACAAGCGUGCACAAUCAGCAACUGAACCACAGUUUUCCCUGACCUUGUGUUGUGAGUGAAGGAGGGAUUGGGAACGCUUAGGCACCCUUUGUCUAGGACUCACAGGCUGUUAGACAGCAAACAUCAGCACAAGAGAGCUAGUGGGAAAACUCCUGGUCUCACCACUGCUGAUUUAAGUGACACCGCAAAAAAUUAAGAGUGAGUAGCAUGGUUGUCUCUGGAAGGAGACAUCCAUGGGACCCAGUCAGACACCCAAAUAUGUGUGGCCUACGAGGAACAACACAGAUGUUUGCUGCCAUUGCAAUAUCAUUAACAGUGCCUCUGUUGCAGUUCUUAUCACAAGCAUAAUGCACAAAAUCCACCACAACAGAACACCACAGUGAACUACAGGCAUUGACAUCAAAUAGCAGUGUUAGAGGCAAGAGAAGCACCCAAAGAGGCUGGGAUGCUUGGCUAAUGUUUAAUAACUCCUGUUGUAUGUUUGUGCCCAACAAUACAGCUCCAAAUGGUUAGGUGAACCCAGUGCUGGAAGGACUGCGUUCCCUACGAGAAGAACUUGCAGAGAACUCUGAAGUGGACACUAACAUGUUUGACAGAGCAUCAGACGGAUCCACAUCAGCAGUUUCAGCAGAAAUCUGACAAUGAAGCUGGUAUCAGUUGUCUUCCUCCUCCUGGCUCCUCUGUUGACCAGCUGCCAGCAGCUUGCCAUUUUUUAUGAGAAGCACACGGUCAGCUAGUAGCAGCCAAAUCUGGAGUGCACACGUAUUCGACUCUGUGUGACAUUCAGCGAGCCACCCCUUCCUGGCUGCUCAGGAGAUGCCGGGGGACGGC
Long non-coding RNA from Micropterus salmoides (largemouth bass), 2712 nucleotides. RefSeq lists it as uncharacterized. NCBI's taxonomy places the organism in Eukaryota, Metazoa, Chordata, Actinopteri, Centrarchiformes, Centrarchidae. The transcript has 4 exons. The record is from RefSeq and is a predicted model, not a curated record.